GUCACAGGACUCAGGCAGGACUCAGUGGUGGCAGUGAGCGUCAGGCCUGCCCAGGCCUCGCAGAGCUGGUGUUCAGAGACACCUCGUGCUGCCAUGCGGCGCAGCAGAACAGCGCUCUCCUUCCCGCUAAACGAGGUCAUGGUGGCCCCACUCAUCCAGAGAACUGUGUGACAAGUCACCCAUCAUAAUCACGAGUUGCCCUUGAAUCUCCUUGAACACCCUAUGGCCAUGGCCCAUCUCUCAGCCACCAAAACAUGUCCCGCAUCCACUCAUGGGCCCCACCCUGGCCCAUGUCCCACCCAGGUGCUGCCCCAGCCUCUAUCCUUCCCCAGUGAUCCCUGAUGCAGACACAGGAGACUUCUUAAAAUCAUAAAGCAAGUGUAUCUCUUUUUUUUUUAAUUUUUAAAAACUCAUCGGGGGCUUCCCUGGUGGUGCAGUGGUUAAGAAUCCGCCUGCCAAUGUAAGGCACACGGGCUCGAGCCCUGGUCUGGGAAGAUCCCACAUGCCACGGAGCAACUGAGCCCGUGCGCCACAACUACUGAGCCUGAGCUCUAGAGCCCGCGAGCCGCAACUGCUGAGCCCACAUGCCACAACUACUGAAGCCCGCGUGCCUAGACCUCAUGCUCUGCAACAAGAGAAGAGAAGCCACCGCAAUGAGAAACCCGUGCACCACAACAAAGAAUAGCCCCCGCUUGCCACAACUACAGAAAGCCCAUGCACAGCAAUGAAGACCCAAC
Molecule: long non-coding RNA, 737 nt
Organism: Balaenoptera ricei (Rice's whale)
Lineage: Eukaryota; Metazoa; Chordata; Mammalia; Artiodactyla; Balaenopteridae
Exons: 3
Source: RefSeq, a predicted model, not a curated record